This 21-nucleotide non-coding RNA is filed under the name Caenorhabditis elegans. Lineage: Eukaryota; Metazoa; Nematoda; Chromadorea; Rhabditida; Rhabditidae. The record is from RNAcentral.
UGACAAUUCUAUCUAAUGAGA